RNAcentral lists this ribosomal RNA (377 nucleotides) under uncultured eukaryote. Its description in RNAcentral is "partial 18S ribosomal RNA". It matches the Rfam family "Eukaryotic small subunit ribosomal RNA", at positions 592 to 976 of the family's 1831-position model. The record is from RNAcentral.
CAAUAGCGUAUAUUAAUGUUGUUGCAGUUAAAAAGCUCGUAGUUGGAUUUCUGAUGGGAGCCCUGGUCACUCUAACGAGUGUACUGAUGUGGCGUCCUGUCGUUUCAUGGGGAUGCUUGCUGGUAUUAAGUUAUCGGCUUGUGGAUCCAUGUCGUUUACUGUGAAAAAAUUAGAGUGUUCAAAGCAGGCCAUCGCUGUGAAUACAUUAGCAUGGAAUAAUAAGAUAGGACUGUGGUGCUAUUUUGUUGGUUUGCGUACUACGGUAAUGAUUAAUAGGGAUAGUUGGGGGUAUUCAUAUUCAAUUGUCAGAGGUGAAAUUCUUGGAUUUAUGGAAGAUGAACUACUGCGAAAGCAUUUACCAAGGAUGUUUUCAUUAA